This 468-nucleotide ribosomal RNA is filed under the name uncultured bacterium. Its description in RNAcentral is "partial 16S ribosomal RNA". It matches the Rfam family "Bacterial small subunit ribosomal RNA", at positions 28 to 507 of the family's 1533-position model. The record is from RNAcentral.
GACGAACGCUGGCGGCGUGCUUAACACAUGCAAGUCGAACGGAAAGGCCCUGCUUUUGUGGGGUGCUCGAGUGGCGAACGGGUGAGUAACACGUGAGUAACCUGCCCUUGACUUUGGGAUAACUUCAGGAAACUGGGGCUAAUACCGGAUAGGAGCUCCUGCUGCAUGGUGGGGGUUGGAAAGUUUCGGCGGUUGGGGAUGGACUCGCGGCUUAUCAGCUUGUUGGUGGGGUAGUGGCUUACCAAGGCUUUGACGGGUAGCCGGCCUGGGAGGGUGACCGGCGACAUUGGGCCUGAGAUACGGCCCAGACUCCUACGGGAGGCAGCAGUGGGGAAUAUUGCACAAUGGGCGGAAGCCUGAUGCAGCAACGCCGCGUGCGGGAUGACGGCCUUCGGGUUGUAAACCGCUUUCGCCUGUGACGAAGCGUGAGUGACGGUAAUGGGUAAAGAAGCACCGGCUAACUACGUG